This is a long non-coding RNA of Mirounga angustirostris (Northern elephant seal), 3763 nucleotides long. RefSeq lists it as uncharacterized. The record is from RefSeq and is a predicted model, not a curated record. The transcript has 3 exons. Lineage: Eukaryota; Metazoa; Chordata; Mammalia; Carnivora; Phocidae.
UGUGAGACGGAGGCCUUCCGGAGGCUUCCAGAUUUAAACCAAUCCCACAGACAUGCGACAGAAUUGCCUAUAGAGAAUUGUAUUAUAGCCAAGUGCCAGGGGAUAUAUUUAUCUGUGCCUGAGGUUCUCAUCUCUUUUUAAAGAAAAAGCCACACAUUUGGCUAAAAGACAAAGUGGAAAAAAUGUACUCUUGAGUAAAUAUUCAGGAUGGUUGCUCAGAAUAUUUGAAAUGAUGAACUAUGUGGGAAAAAAAAAGUGCCUGUGACAAAUUGUUAGCAGGCUAUAUUUGGGGGUCCAAAUCCAGGGCCCCCGCCAACUGAGUUCACCCAGCCUGGGUGUUUUUCCAUGUCUAUUUAUAACUAUCCACACAUUCACACACAAAAAAUGCAGUGGACAUUUGACUUCAUUUCUAGAUGACUAAAAUGCUCUAAAUGUAUCAGAUUACAGCACGUGAGAACCUGUGGCAUGGCCUGCGAUUAGCCUUACUUACUGGAGAAGGAUUAAUCAAUGUGCAGAAAACAACGAAACAGGAUCCUUUGGGAAUUUGGAAGUAUGAAAACAACUUCUGCUUUAUUUCCUUUGUAAAAAUAUAAUUGACUUCCACAAAACUUGAUUGCGCUCCAACCGUGCGAACGGCUAACUUGAGACCUGCAUAUAAGGAAGGGCACAGUCUCUAGUCCCAAGGAAUUUUCUGGGGAGGUACAGAUACUGGAAUAAAAUACAUUCAAAGGAUGAUCGGUGCCUUCACGGAACCGUGGGCAAGGAUACUGGGCACAGAGAAGAGGGAGUGAAUGCAAUGAGCAGGGGACGUCUCCCAGCAACCAUUCCUUCUGCUCCCUUUAGGAAGACACACGGUUCCCGGCGAGUAUGGCUGAUGUGGAACACGACCUGGCUGGGCCAAUCAGAGUUCUCCAUCCCCCUGGGCACAGUUCAUGUGCUCUCUAAGCUGGACCAAUCAGAGAGAAGAUCAAGACUUGCUGGGAAAGCGACUAGAAAGACUCCCCUCUUUUUGUUGGAUUUGAACGAAGAAGUUCCCAGGUGCUGCUGAAAGCUGUUUUGUACCCGUGAGUCUAGAAGCUGGAAGUCCAAAAUCAAGAUGUCGCCAGCGUCAUACUCCCUCAGAAGGCUCUAGGGGAGGAUCCUUCCUUGCCUCCUCCAGCUUCCGGCGGCCCUGAUAACACCUGUUGUGUUUUCCUGCAGCAGCGAGGUGAUCUGAUUACUUCCUCACUGCCAGACCUCCCCCUGCUGAGGGUGCUUGUCCCCGGCCGCCUUCCUCAUACUUCCUCAUUCCAUUCAUUCAUUAACAUCCACUGGUGACAAAAUACAAAGUGGGAAAUGAAUGCCAAGCAAGAUUCCAGAUACAGGGUUUUGGGAACUGAAGGAGAGGGGAUGAAGACACGAAGAACGGAUGAGUGUGAAGGAAUUGCUACGAAGGGCAAAAGAACAAGAGGAGGAUGACAGAGUACAUUCCAUCAGCCUGAGAGACCCCUCCCCAAGCGCGCCCCUAGUUUUCCGUUGUCAUCAAAUAGCAGCAUAGAACACCAUAGAGUUCGCUUUUGGCACGAGCGAAAGGGCUGAAAGAAUCCCAGAGGUCCUCCAGGGUCAUGUCCUUCAGGAUGCAGUUACGUAAACUUUGAUGCCUCAAACUCAGCAGAUCCCAAAUGCUAACUGUAUCACAUUCACAGCCAAAACAGCCUGUCCUCCUUACACGUCCAUGUUGUCUGUCGGCAGUACAUGCAGUAACACUGCUGAAAAUCUGCGGGAUGCUGGGAAUCUAGCCCCACGCUUGCCCCCCACCACCAGUUAUGCCAGACCUUCUUCUCUCUGGUCCACUCCUCUGUCCCUGUCCAUCUCCAUUCCUCACCUCUGGUCAGGGGUCCUUUGAUCCUUUACCUACAACUUGGCUCGUUCCUGGGGUGCCUGGGUGCUCAGCUGGUGAAGAGUUGACUCUUGAUUUUGGCUCAGGUCAUGAUCUCAGGGUGGUGGGAUGAAGCCCUAUGUUGGGCUCUGCGCUUAGCACAGAGUCUGCUUAUUCCUCUCCUUCUGCUCCGCCUCCCUCCUCAAAUAAAUAAAUAAAAUCUUUAAAACAAAACAAAACAACCAGCUUGGCUCAUUCCUGCUAGUGAAUACAAUGUCCUAGAUCCUUUCGGGAGGAGGGAUCCAGAAGACGGGACCCUCUGUAUCAAAGCUGCAGAGAAGAAUGUCUGGGAAAGGUCGAUACAAUCGGCAAUAAGAGGCCAUUUUUUUUGGUUGUAAUCUACUUUGGUAGUUCUAGUCUAAAGUGCAGUUGAAUCAGCACUAUACUGAAAUAUCCACAUAUGCAGCGACAGAGACUUGCCCUCAGCAUGAGCGUCAGUUCAAAGGAUGAGUGAGUCUCCAGCCCAUACCCUUUAUUUUGCAGAAAUGGAAAUUGGGCCCAAAGAACUAAGUGUCUUGCCCAGGAGAGUGACACAGCAGAGUCUAGAAUCUCAGGGUCCCUGAGUCCACCUAAUGUUUUUUUCCCACUAAAUCAGUGGUUCUCAGCAUGGAUUCAUAUUAGAAUCACCCAGAGGGCUUUUUAAAAAAAUACCUGUGCCUGGCUUUCCCCCAGAGAUUCUGAUGUAAAAGGCCUCGGAUAGAGCUCAAACCUCUUUUUUUUUUUUCUUUUCUUUAUUUUUAACCUCAGUGGAGAACAACUGGACAAGAGCUAGGCUCACCCUUUUCCUGGUUGAGCCUUUUACCCUCUGAUUCAGCUCCUUGAAGGGAAGUAAAGGAAAUAAUGACAUUUCAAUUCAAAUGAAAAGCAGCAUGGAGUUGGUGAAGCAGAAAACAUUCGAAGCAAAAUGACAUUAGAGAUAAAAUAGUCCAGUGGUUUUUAAAAAACUUAGCUGUGAAUACCUUUCUCCAAGUGAAUUCUUCAGAGCUGGCCCCCUCCUUCAGCAGUUGAGGCUGGAACUCAUUGGCUUGCUAUGGACAUGCGGGCACCAGGAUGGGCAUUGGGGACAGUCAGUAGAGGCCAGGAAGUCCCCCGGUCGCAGGGACGAGUCAGGUACAGUUGGCAGUGCUCUUCAGGGUCAGCACUCGAGUGUCCUUGCUCACCUGUCUGGGAAGCCAGAGAUCCUCGGGGAGAAAGCAGGGCCUGGGAAGUAUGGCUCUUCCAUUCUCGUGUGUUGGAGGUGGUAAAAUGCACUGUUGACUUUUUUUUUUUUUUUAAGAUUUAUUUAUUUAUUUGAAAGAGAGAGAGGCAGCGCAUGCAAGAGAGCACAGGGGUGGGGAGGAGCAGAGGAGAGGUAGAGAGAGAGCAUCUCACAGACUCCCCGUUGAGCCCAGAGCCCCAUGACGCAGGGCUCAAUCCCACGAACCCGAGAUCAUGACCUCAGCUGAAAUCAAGAGUAGGAUGCUCAGCUGACUGAGCCACCCAGGCUCCGUGCACUGUUGAUUUCAUCACAGCUUUGUGGGGCCCAAACCAGUAUAUGCUCAUGUCCACAAUUUAAGAAAACUUAAUGGAUAGUAGCAAACAUUUCUCUGUAUAGUUAAUUACAUGCUACUGCCCUUUUUAUUGUAGAGUUAACAUCUUAUUUAAGCAUAUCUCAACUUUUUCUGUGUACAGUAGAAGUUUUUAUUUAAGCACAUCCCGACUCUGGAGAUUUUUAUGAACUGCUGUUGGCAGGGAUUCACAGCACCCAGAUAACAUGUGACCUUCAUAACCUAAACUUGAUGACAACCUUCAGAACUGACCAGUGUAUCGAGAUUAUAUAUCUGCUUUUCCUCUUAGGUUAAACUA